UACGGAGGGUGCAAGCGUUAUCCGGAAUCACUGGGUUUAAAGGGUGCGUAGGCGGCUUGAUAAGUCAGGGGUGAAAGCCCGCAGCUUAACUGCGGAACUGCCUUUGAUACUGUCGAGCUUGAAAGGGGUUGAGGUCAGCGGAACGUGACAUGUAGCGGUGAAAUGCAUAGAUAUGUCACAGAACACCGAUUGCGAAGGCAGCUGGCUGGACCUACUUUGACGCUGAGGCACGAAAGCGUGGGGAGCGAACAGG
RNAcentral lists this ribosomal RNA (253 nucleotides) under uncultured bacterium. RNAcentral describes it as "partial 16S ribosomal RNA". It matches the Rfam family "Bacterial small subunit ribosomal RNA", at positions 524 to 776 of the family's 1533-position model. The record is from RNAcentral.